GAUGAACGCUGGCGGCGUGCUUAACACAUGCAAGUCGAACGAAGCACUUUAUUACGAUUUCUUCGGAAUGACGAUUUAGUGACUGAGUGGCGGACGGGUGAGUAACGCGUGGGUAACCUGCCUUAUACAGGGGGAUAACAGUUAGAAAUGACUGCUAAUACCGCAUAAGCGCACAGGAUUGCAUGAUCUGGUGUGAAAAACUCCGGUGGUAUAAGAUGGACCCGCGUCUGAUUAGCUUGUUGGUGGUGUAAUGGACUACCAAGGCGACGAUCAGUAGCUGGUUUGAGAGGAUGAUCAGCCACAAUGGGACUGAGACACGGCCCAUACUCCUACGGGAGGCAGCAGUAGGGAAUUUUGCGCAAUGGGCGAAAGCCUGACGCAGCAACGCCGCGUGUGUGAUGACGCCUUCGGGUGUAAACACUGUCAGUAGGACGAAUUUAGUACGGUACCUGGAGAAAAAGCCACGGCUAACUACGUGCCAGCA
RNAcentral lists this ribosomal RNA (484 nucleotides) under uncultured bacterium. RNAcentral describes it as "bacterial SSU rRNA". It matches the Rfam family "Bacterial small subunit ribosomal RNA", at positions 28 to 513 of the family's 1533-position model. The record is from RNAcentral.